AAAGGAAUUGACGGGGCCCGCACAAGCGGUGGAGCAUGUGGUUUAAUUCGAUGCAACGCGAAGAACCUUACCUGGUCUUGACAUCCCGGAGACCCUUAGGAAACUAGGGGUGCUUCCAUCUGGAAGAAUCUGGAGACAGGUGCUGCAUGGCUGUCGUCAGCUCGUGUCGUGAGAUGUUGGGUUAAGUCCCGCAACGAGCGCAACCCUUGCCUUUAGUUGCCAGCAGUUCGGCUGGGCACUCUAAAGGGACUGCCGGUGUUAAACCGGAGGAAGGUGGGGAUGACGUCAAGUCCUCAUGGCCUUUAUGACCAGGGCUACACACGUACUACAAUGGCCGAUACAAAGGGCAGCGACACUGCGAGGUGAAGCCAAUCCCGUAAAAUCGGUCUCAGUCCGGAUUGGAGUCUGCAACUCGACUCCAUGAAGUUGGAAUCGCUAGUAAUCGUGGAUCAGCAUGCCACGGUGAAUACGUUCCCGGGCCUU
RNAcentral lists this ribosomal RNA (483 nucleotides) under uncultured Desulfobulbus sp. RNAcentral describes it as "bacterial SSU rRNA". It matches the Rfam family "Bacterial small subunit ribosomal RNA", at positions 903 to 1382 of the family's 1533-position model. The record is from RNAcentral. Lineage: Bacteria; Pseudomonadati; Thermodesulfobacteriota; Desulfobulbia; Desulfobulbales; Desulfobulbaceae.